AAGUCGUAACAAGGUCUCCGUUGGUGAACCAGCGGAGGGAUCAUUACCGAGUUUACAACUCCCAAACCCAAUGUGAACGUUACCAAACUGUUGCCUCGGCGGGGUCACGCCCCGGGUGCGUCGCAGCCCCGGAACCAGGCGCCCGCCGGAGGAACCAACCAAACUCUUUCUGUAGUCCCCUCGCGGACGUAUUUCUUUACAGCUCUGAGCAAAAAUUCAAAAUGAAUCAAAACUUUCAACAACGGAUCUCUUGGUUCUG
RNAcentral lists this unclassified non-coding RNA (259 nucleotides) under Trichoderma asperellum. RNAcentral describes it as "partial internal transcribed spacer region". The stretch from base 1 to 46 matches the Rfam family "Eukaryotic small subunit ribosomal RNA", at positions 1786 to 1831 of the family's 1831-position model. Lineage: Eukaryota; Fungi; Ascomycota; Sordariomycetes; Hypocreales; Hypocreaceae. RNAcentral also lists the same sequence under 2 other names. The record is from RNAcentral.